UACGUAGGGCGCAAGCGUUAUCCGGAAUUAUUGGGCGUAAAGAGCUCGUAGGCGGUUUGUCGCGUCUGCUGUGAAAGACCGGGGCUCAACUCCGGUUCUGCAGUGGGUACGGGCAGACUAGAGUGAUGUAGGGGAGACUGGAAUUCCUGGUGUAGCGGUGAAAUGCGCAGAUAUCAGGAGGAACACCGAUGGCGAAGGCAGGUCUCUGGGCAUUAACUGACGCUGAGGCGCGAAAGCGUGGGGAGCAAACAGG
This 253-nucleotide ribosomal RNA is filed under the name uncultured bacterium. Its description in RNAcentral is "partial 16S ribosomal RNA". It matches the Rfam family "Bacterial small subunit ribosomal RNA", at positions 524 to 776 of the family's 1533-position model. The record is from RNAcentral.